This 232-nucleotide ribosomal RNA is filed under the name uncultured bacterium. RNAcentral describes it as "partial 16S ribosomal RNA". It matches the Rfam family "Bacterial small subunit ribosomal RNA", at positions 99 to 334 of the family's 1533-position model. The record is from RNAcentral.
CGGACGGGUGAGUAAUGUCUGGGAAACUGCCUGAUGGAGGGGGAUAACUACUGGAAACGGUAGCUAAUACCGCAUAACGUCGCAAGACCAAAGAGGGGGACCUUCGGGCCUCUUGCCAUCGGAUGUGCCCAGAUGGGAUUAGCUUGUAGGUAAGGUAACGGCUUACCUAGGCGACGAUCCCUAGCUGGUCUGAGAGGAUGAUCAGCCACACUGGGACUGAGACACGGCCCAG